This 148-nucleotide small RNA is filed under the name Papio anubis (olive baboon). RNAcentral describes it as "Metazoan signal recognition particle RNA (ENSPANG00000050043.1)". The record is from Rfam by way of RNAcentral. Lineage: Eukaryota; Metazoa; Chordata; Mammalia; Primates; Cercopithecidae.
GCCAGGUGUGGUGGUGCGCACCUGUAGUCCUAACUACUCGGGAGGCUGAGGUAGAAGAAUUGCUUGAACCCAGGAGGCAGAGGUUGCAGUGAGCCAAGAUCACGCCACUGCACUCCAGCCUGGGUGACAGAGCAAGACUCUGUCUCAA